GAUUAAGUUAUUAAGGGCGCACGGUGGAUGCCUUGGCACUAGAAGCCGAUGAAGGACGUUACUAACGACGAUAUGCUUUGGGGAGCUGUAAGUAAGCUUUGAUCCAGAGAUUUCCGAAUGGGGAAACCCAGCAUGAGUUAUGUCAUGUUAUCGAUAUGUGAAUACAUAGCAUAUCAGAAGGCACACCCGGAGAACUGAAACAUCUUAGUACCCGGAGGAAGAGAAAGAAAAUUCGAUUCCCUUAGUAGCGGCGAGCGAAACGGGAAGAGCCCAAACCAACAAGCUUGCUUGUUGGGGUUGUAGGACACUCUAUACGGAGUUACAAAGGACGACAUUAGACGAAUCAUCUGGAAAGAUGAAUCAAAGAAGGUAAUAAUCCUGUAGUCGAAAAUGUUGUCUCUCUUGAGUGGAUCCUGAGUACGACGGAGCACGUGAAAUUCCGUCGGAAUCUGGGAGGACCAUCUCCUAAGGCUAAAUACUCUCUAGUGACCGAUAGUGAACCAGUACCGUGAGGGAAAGGUGAAAAGUACCCCGGAAGGGGAGUGAAAUAGAACCUGAAACCGUGUGCUUACAAGUAGUCAGAGCCCGUUAAUGGGUGAUGGCGUGCCUUUUGUAGAAUGAACCGGCGAGUUACGAUUUGAUGCAAGGUUAAGCAGUAAAUGUGGAGCCGUAGCGAAAGCGAGUCUGAAUAGGGCGUUUAGUAUUUGGUCGUAGACCCGAAACCAGGUGAUCUACCCUUGGUCAGGUUGAAGUUCAGGUAACACUGAAUGGAGGACCGAACCGACUUACGUUGAAAAGUGAGCGGAUGAACUGAGGGUAGCGGAGAAAUUCCAAUCGAACCUGGAGAUAGCUGGUUCUCUCCGAAAUAGCUUUAGGGCUAGCCUCAAGUGAUGAUUAUUGGAGGUAGAGCACUGUUUGGACGAGGGGCCCCUCUCGGGUUACCGAAUUCAGACAAACUCCGAAUGCCAAUUAAUUUAACUUGGGAGUCAGAACAUGGGUGAUAAGGUCCGUGUUCGAAAGGGAAACAGCCCAGACCACCAGCUAAGGUCCCAAAAUAUAUGUUAAGUGGAAAAGGAUGUGGCGUUGCCCAGACAACUAGGAUGUUGGCUUAGAAGCAGCCAUCAUUUAAAGAGUGCGUAAUAGCUCACUAGUCGAGUGACACUGCGCCGAAAAUGUACCGGGGCUAAACAUAUUACCGAAGCUGUGGAUUGUCCUUUGGACAAUGGUAGGAGAGCGUUCUAAGGGCGUUGAAGCAUGAUCGUAAGGACAUGUGGAGCGCUUAGAAGUGAGAAUGCCGGUGUGAGUAGCGAAAGACGGGUGAGAAUCCCGUCCACCGAUUGACUAAGGUUUCCAGAGGAAGGCUCGUCCGCUCUGGGUUAGUCGGGUCCUAAGCUGAGGCCGACAGGCGUAGGCGAUGGAUAACAGGUUGAUAUUCCUGUACCACCUAUAAUCGUUUUAAUCGAUGGGGGGACGCAGUAGGAUAGGCGAAGCGUGCGAUUGGAUUGCACGUCUAAGCAGUAAGGCUGAGUAUUAGGCAAAUCCGGUACUCGUUAAGGCUGAGCUGUCAUGGGGAGAAGACAUUGUGUCUUCGAGUCGUUGAUUUCACACUGCCGAGAAAAGCCUCUAGAUAGAAAAUAGGUGCCCGUACCGCAAACCGACACAGGUAGUCAAGAUGAGAAUUCUAAGGUGAGCGAGCGAACUCUCGUUAAGGAACUCGGCAAAAUGACCCCGUAACUUCGGGAGAAGGGGUGCUCUUUAGGGUUAACGCCCAGAAGAGCCGCAGUGAAUAGGCCCAAGCGACUGUUUAUCAAAAACACAGGUCUCUGCUAAACCGUAAGGUGAUGUAUAGGGGCUGACGCCUGCCCGGUGCUGGAAGGUUAAGAGGAGUGGUUAGCUUCUGCGAAGCUACGAAUCGAAGCCCCAGUAAACGGCGGCCGUAACUAUAACGGUCCUAAGGUAGCGAAAUUCCUUGUCGGGUAAGUUCCGACCCGCACGAAAGGCGUAACGAUUUGGGCACUGUCUCAACGAGAGACUCGGUGAAAUCAUAGUACCUGUGAAGAUGCAGGUUACCCGCGACAGGACGGAAAGACCCCGUGGAGCUUUACUGUAGCCUGAUAUUGAAAUUCGGCACAGCUUGUACAGGAUAGGUAGGAGCCUUUGAAACGUGAGCGCUAGCUUACGUGGAGGCGCUGGUGGGAUACUACCCUAGCUGUGUUGGCUUUCUAACCCGCACCACUUAUCGUGGUGGGAGACAGUGUCAGGCGGGCAGUUUGACUGGGGCGGUCGCCUCCUAAAAGGUAACGGAGGCGCUCAAAGGUUCCCUCAGAAUGGUUGGAAAUCAUUCAUAGAGUGUAAAGGCAUAAGGGAGCUUGACUGCGAGACCUACAAGUCGAGCAGGGUCGAAAGACGGACUUAGUGAUCCGGUGGUUCCGUAUGGAAGGGCCAUCGCUCAACGGAUAAAAGCUACCCCGGGGAUAACAGGCUUAUCUCCCCCAAGAGUUCACAUCGACGGGGAGGUUUGGCACCUCGAUGUCGGCUCAUCGCAUCCUGGGGCUGUAGUCGGUCCCAAGGGUUGGGCUGUUCGCCCAUUAAAGCGGUACGCGAGCUGGGUUCAGAACGUCGUGAGACAGUUCGGUCCCUAUCCGUCGUGGGCGUAGGAAAUUUGAGAGGAGCUGUCCUUAGUACGAGAGGACCGGGAUGGACAUACCUCUGGUGUACCAGUUGUCGUGCCAACGGCAUAGCUGGGUAGCUAUGUAUGGACGGGAUAAGUGCUGAAAGCAUCUAAGCAUGAAGCCCCCCUCAAGAUGAGAUUUCCCAACUUCGGUUAUAAGAUCCCUCAAAGAUGAUGAGGUUAAUAGGUUCGAGGUGGAAGCAUGGUGACAUGUGGAGCUGACGAAUACUAAUCGAUCGAAGACUUAAUCAA
Molecule: ribosomal RNA, 2923 nt
Filed under: Staphylococcus aureus
Lineage: Bacteria; Bacillati; Bacillota; Bacilli; Caryophanales; Staphylococcaceae
Description: 23S ribosomal RNA
Rfam family: Bacterial large subunit ribosomal RNA
Source: RNAcentral